AAACUGCAGCCCCCUGUGUCUGUGCAGUUACCAGCCACUCCACUGAGGACUUUCCCCUCCAGCACCAGGCAAGAUGAGACUUUGGCUCCAUUUACUUUUCCUUGUGGCGGCUCUGGAAGGGGCCCGGUCACAGGUUGUUCUGACCCAGUCGGGUCCAGAACUGAAGAAACCCGGAGAAUCCACUCAGCUGAAAUGCUCCGUGAGCGGGUUCACUAUCACCGACUACUAUAUGGAUUGGGUCAGACAGGAGCCGGGAAAGGGGCUGGAGUGGCUGGUCCACUACUGGAAACCAGGGAGCGAGUAUUAUUCUCCCACCAUCAAGGGGCGAUUCACAGCCUCCAAGGACAGCUCCAAUUUCUACCUGCAAAUGAACAGCCUAAAAGCCGAGGACACCGCCGUGUAUUACUGCGCCAGAGACACAGCGAGGGGAA
Chrysemys picta bellii (western painted turtle) is the source of this 431-nucleotide non-coding RNA. Lineage: Eukaryota; Metazoa; Chordata; Testudines; Emydidae. The record is from the annotation of a RefSeq genome assembly.